UGGUCUUGUUGCUGGUGCAGCUCUUCCAUUCUCAAGGUCUCAUGGCACAAUAAAUCAGAGUAUCGGUUACCGAAGGACAAAUUGUAACUUUGGUCUCUGAAUUAAAAGUUUAUUAAAAUUAGUACUAUGAAUUUUGUUCAAAAAAAAAAAAAAGUUAAUGAAUUUUGGCAAAAUUUGGAGCAUUUGUCGUGACACCAACUUCGUGCUAGUGGGUCUCUCCGAAUUAUCUAUUCUAAAGUUAAGAGGGAUUUUAGGGUUUAUAAAUUAGGGCUCUUGGGGAUUUUAGGGUUUUCUCACUCUUUUUAUUUUUUCAGAAAUUGCACUGUAUUUCUCAGAUUUUGAAAAAAUGGGCUUAAUUUUGUUUUUGUUUUUUUUUUCUCUCAUCUCUCUGGUAAUUACUCUGAACCCCCAAAAGAUUUGAAAUUUCUGGUAAUUUUUCUCAUUGUUUUUGACGAUUUGUUGUUAGAAUUUGUAUAAAUUGCUGCCAAUGUGUUGUGAACUAGUAGAAAAUUGGGGUUUCAAGCAAAUGACGAGAUGGGUAUGUGGGUAAGCCAAUAAAAAUCCACGCUUUCAUCUGUUUGUUUGAUUAAAUAUAGUUUUUGUCCUUUUCAACCCUCUUUGUCAAUUGUGUAGGAAAUGUUUGAUUUUGCUUGGGUUUCUUGAGAGUUCAGCAACAUCAGGUACUUUUUGAUCCAAUCAACCACAAAACCUGGUAUGCUCUUUUCAAAAUUUUCAAUUUUA
This 741-nucleotide small RNA is filed under the name Malus domestica (apple). RNAcentral describes it as "sRNA MD08G0095300". Lineage: Eukaryota; Viridiplantae; Streptophyta; Magnoliopsida; Rosales; Rosaceae. The record is from RNAcentral.